AGUGUGCAGUCCUGUCAGCCCUCCAGCAGUGUGAGAUUUGGGCAUGCCACAAAGAAGCCAUGCCCCACACAUGUGCGUGGAUGCUGCUUCUGUGUGGGUAACCAGCUCGAAAAUAAGACCUUACACAUACCUGAAGUGCCUGUUGGCCCACAGCCAGUGGAAAGUUUCUCUUCUUUCUGGAUAUAGUCAGAAACAUGACCAUGUAAAAAAAUGGCACCAAUUCACCCCAAGUGUGUGCUGCUGAGAACAACACCUACCUGGCAUGCACUCAAGCAUAUUGGUCCUGAAGACAUUAUGAGAUGGCUACUUYGUAUCUUUCUCAAGCARCCUAYACCUGCUACUGGAAAAAUUUUUAAMUGCAGAAAUUACUUUUCAUGUAGCAAUAUAGACCUGAUAAUUUCCUAUGUCUGUACAAUUAAAACAKCAGUUCCUUUUUAUUUUCAACAACCAUUUGCUUGCUGAAAGUAAGUUACCAUUUCUCCUUCAAUUUUCCUUACACAACCCUGAUUCUUUUAGUCUUUUUUCAUAGAGAGCAUUUUCUACAUUUCGGGCAGCUCUUCUUUUUUUGUGGCAGUGCCUCUGUAAGUUUAAGGAAUAAAAUUUCAGUGAAGCCUUCUCACUACUAAGUAGAGUGUAGUAUCACUUUUCAUGAUGUGAAGGCUUGAAUUUCUGUUUGUACACAUACAAUAAUUUGCCUUUUCCACACCAGUCCAUCAUUGCURUUUCACAUUCAGCUAAUGCACAAAUCCCUUUUUCAAAGAGAUUCCUUUCUAAUCAAAAUAUCCUUCUGCAUUUUUAGCAUUAUAAAAUUUACUACAUGUGCAACUCCAGAGUCUACCUGAACUUAAUCCAUUGGUCUUGCUGUCAUCCCACCUGCUUUUUUCAGACCAUUUCUACAACAUUUUAAAACCAUCUGGAGUCACAUGUUUUGUUGAGAUGCAUGGUAAAACCUUUUCCUCUGUGUGCAAAAUCUUGUUUUCCUAAAUACUCCCAAGGCUGUACUUUUUCUACUUAGCCUUAAAUCUUACCUAUUUUUUGUUGGRUUGGCUGUGCUAAUUGCAUCCUCAYAUUUGGCCAUUUUAGAUGCAAUUAWAAAASAUGUGAAACACUUUGAUCUGCUCAUUGUAAUCUCCCCAUUAUCUUUCCUCUUCAUGGAGUAAUGAGCUAACAUUUUCCUCCAUCUUCUUUUUAAUCAAUGAUUGAAUUCUGUUACCUUUGUUGUCUCUUGCUAAUUUAAUUUCAAGUUUCCAGACCUUGCUUUACAUGGCURUGUUCAUACUCAUCCUUGGACAUCUGGUUUUGCUUCUACUUGUUGUGGUUCCUUAUUGUCUUUGAGAUCAAUGAAGAGAAGUGAGUGUUUUUCAUUUAUAGUCUUUUUUUCUGCAUCUAAACRUCAGCCUUUAGCACUGUUUCUUUGGGGAACUCUCCCAAAGCCCUCUGUUUUUUUGCAUUUUCCCCAGCAUAUUGAGGUCUGUCUAGCUGAAACCCAUUGGUUUGGGUUCUCUUCUGCCUUGCCUCUCCAAAGACCAUGAAAGCUACYUUUCAUGGUUACUCUUGCCUUCCACCUUCCCUUUCCUACACUGCUCCUCCCUUGUGCUAAGACUCAAACCCAGAGGACUUUUUCCUUUAAUUCCUUUCUGGGUCUUCUGAAUACAAACAAAGGUUGUGAUAACUCUGUGACAUAAAGGUGCUGAAAAUUUUUUAAGCUACUGAAUUCAUUUGUUCAACAAAUGUCUCUAAAUGUAGCUUCCACUUCCCACAAGACCUGUGCUUCAGAUAUCUUUGUUAGUUACUCUCAAAGAGCCUCAUACACCUAAUCUUCAUGAAUGGAUGCCCUUUAACAGACUCCAGCAAAUUCUGACAAUGGCAUCCUAUUUCCACCUUUGCAUACUUUCAGCAAGGCCAACUCCAUCUGUCUUCUGGAUUUCAGAACAAGUUUAUAGACAAGGGUCACAGUGACACCUCUUUUAUAUCUCUGCUGUCCAUUCUCCUUGAACAAGUAGCAUCUGUCAGCAUUCCAGUCAUAUGAGUGAUCUGACCAUGUCUGUGAUUUCAGUGAAGCUGUAAGUUUGAUCCUAUAUUAA
Malurus melanocephalus (red-backed fairy wren) is the source of this 2084-nucleotide long non-coding RNA. RefSeq lists it as uncharacterized. NCBI's taxonomy places the organism in Eukaryota, Metazoa, Chordata, Aves, Passeriformes, Maluridae. The record is from RefSeq and is a predicted model, not a curated record. The transcript has 3 exons.